Molecule: transfer RNA, 74 nt
Filed under: Solirubrobacterales bacterium
Lineage: Bacteria; Bacillati; Actinomycetota; Thermoleophilia; Solirubrobacterales
Also listed under: 5 other names
Description: tRNA-Pro
Rfam family: tRNA
About the family: Transfer RNA (tRNA) molecules are approximately 80 nucleotides in length. Their secondary structure includes four short double-helical elements and three loops (D, anti-codon, and T loops).
Source: RNAcentral
CGGGGCGUGGCGCAGCCUGGUAGCGCACCUGCUUUGGGAGCAGGGGGUCGCCGGUUCGAAUCCGGCCGCCCCGA